RNAcentral lists this ribosomal RNA (467 nucleotides) under uncultured bacterium. RNAcentral's name for it is "partial 16S ribosomal RNA". It matches the Rfam family "Bacterial small subunit ribosomal RNA", at positions 28 to 523 of the family's 1533-position model. The record is from RNAcentral.
GAUGAACGCUGGCGGCGUGCCUAACACAUGUAAGUCGAGCGGCAGCGCGAGGAAUUUAUUCCUUGGCGGCGAGCGGCGGACGGCUGAGUAACGCGUGGGAACGUGCCCCAAAGUGAGGAAUAACUGCCCGAAAGGGUGGCUAAUGCCGCAUAUGAUCUUCGGAUUAAAGGAUUUAUCCGCUUUGGGAGCGGCCCGCGUUAGAUUAGGUAGUUGGUAGGAUAAUGGCCUACCAAGCCGACGAUCUAUAGCUGGUCUGAGAGGAUGAUCAGCCAGACUGGAACUGAGACACGGUCCAGACUCCUACGGGAGGCAGCAGUGAGGAAUCUUCCACAAUGGGCGAAAGCCUGAUGGAGCAACGCCGCGUGAAGGAUGAAGGCCCUCGGGUCGUAAACUUCUUUUAUAAGUGAAGAAUAUGACGGUAACUUAUGAAUAAGCACCGGCUAACUACGUGCCAGCCGCCGCCGUAA